GUGGGGAAUAUUGGACAAUGGGGGGAACCCUGAUCCAGCCAUGCCGCGUGUGUGAAGAAGGCCUUUUGGUUGUAAAGCACUUUAAGCGAGGAGGAGGCUACCGAGAUUAAUACUCUUGGAUAGUGGACGUUACUCGCAGAAUAAGCACCGGCUAACUCUGUGCCAGCAGCCGCGGUAAUACAGAGGGUGCAAGCGUUAAUCGGAUUUACUGGGCGUAAAGCGCGCGUAGGUGGCCAAUUAAGUCAAAUGUGAAAUCCCCGAGCGUAACUGGGGAAUUGCAUUCGAUACUGGUUGGCUAGAGUAUGGGAGAGGAUGGUAGAAUUCCAGGUGUAGCGGUGAAAUGCGUAGAGAUCUGGAGGAAUACCGAUGGCGAAGGCAGCCAUCUGGCCUAAUACUGACACUGAGGUGCGAAAGCAUGGGGAGCAAACAGGAUUAGAAACCCCUGUAGUCC
This 451-nucleotide ribosomal RNA is filed under the name uncultured bacterium. RNAcentral's name for it is "bacterial SSU rRNA". It matches the Rfam family "Bacterial small subunit ribosomal RNA", at positions 354 to 796 of the family's 1533-position model. The record is from RNAcentral.